AGAAAGUGUUUUAUGUGUUUAUACUUCUCCUUGCUGUGCAGCUUCCAUUUUCUGGCACAUCUGAGCAGCUCUCAAGGACAUCUUUUCUCCCAAAUUGUCAGGCAGGAGCAGGGGGAGGCCAGAACAGCCCUGAAGAUCUCACACCUAAGGCACCCUCAUUUAACCCCAGUGUUGACAGGAAUAAAGUUGUCUUUGUGUUUUGCUCUCCUGUUCUCACCCCUUUUCCUCUGCCUUGUCUCUCUGCAGGGUGCUCCAGGAGAAGCUGGCAUGUCUAUCAUCGGGCCCCGCGGUCCACCCGGACAGCCUGGAACAAGAGGUUUUCCUGGAUUCCCGGGCCCUAUUGGCUUGGAUGGCAAACCGGGCCAUCCUGGACAGAAGGGAGAGAUGGUAAAAACACAUAUAUUUGUCUGUGGGUGAUGAGUUAGUUUGCAAUGAUGUGCCUCAGCUGGAAACAAGCUCAUGGGCAGGGUAGCAAUCUUAGCUCAGCUGAUGCACUAGCUGCAUCCCUAAUUCUGUAACUGCAUAAUAGCAGUGCUGGGAUGCAUGCCUGUAAUUUUUGCAUUAUGGCUAUCACAUUCAUCAUGUCACAGCAGCAACUCUCUAGUUAGGCAUGGGAUGUGUUUUCCUUGCAGUUAGCAAUUAUGUUCUUUAAAUAUAUUCUGGGAGCUGACAUUUUUCGUGGUUGGCCUCAUAGGACAAGUAAAAGUUGAUGGAAAGAUUUCUGAAAACCCAUCUGGCAGCUUUCAACUUAUCUAACAACAACCACAAAAAGCAUAUUUUUUGGAUUAAAUGUGGUUCCCCCACACCCCCUUGAAGCUCUGUUUCAUAUGUGCAUCAUACAAAAACGCUUUGGGUUGAAAAUGAUAAACUUAGACUGCACUUUAUGGAAGCCCAGUGCUGUCUUGUUCCUCUUGACAUCUCUGAUGAUGAAAUCCCAAAUAUGAGUAUGUCAAGAGAGAGGCUCUGUAGGCACCUUCCUUCACUAAAGUGUUGAAUGCUUUCUUCUGCUAAUUCUGUAAUUCUGUUUUUUGGGCCUGAGUGUCAGUGUAGCCCUCUGGCAAGCACAUGUUGAAGAUCCCCACUCCCCUGUUGCUCAAUCCUAGCUCAGCCUUCAGUCCUGGCUGCUUCUGGUUCCAUCCCAGCGCUGUCAGCUGAGGUCCUGGGAACAAUAAGGGUGUGUUUUCCUGAUGAUUUUUCCCCCUCUCCUUUUAAUAUUUCUCCCCCGUGGUGCAGCCAGAGCAUGU
This 1244-nucleotide long non-coding RNA is filed under the name Parus major (Great Tit). Its description in RNAcentral is "lncRNA (ENSPMJG00000014106.1)". Lineage: Eukaryota; Metazoa; Chordata; Aves; Passeriformes; Paridae. The record is from RNAcentral.